Molecule: non-coding RNA, 69 nt
Organism: Ipomoea triloba (trilobed morning glory)
Lineage: Eukaryota; Viridiplantae; Streptophyta; Magnoliopsida; Solanales; Convolvulaceae
Source: the annotation of a RefSeq genome assembly
GGGGAUAUGGCGAAAUCGGUAGACGCUACGGACUUAAAAAUCGUGAGGGUUCAAGUCCCUCUAUCCCCA